CAUCCUCACUCCUUGUUACAUCUUCACUCCUUGCAGCACCUUCGUCCCUUGCAGCAUCCUCACUCCUUGUUACAUCCUCACCCUCCCUGCAGCACCUUCACACUCUUUGCAGCAUCCUCACCCCUUGCAGCACCCGCAUUCCCCUGCAGUACCCUCACCCCUUAUUACAUCCUCACUCCUAGUUGCAUCCUCACCCCCUGCAGCACCCUCGUUCCUUGCAGCAUCCUUGUUCCUUGCUCCCCCUCAUCCUUUGCUGCAUUCUCACCUCUUGUAGCAUCCUCACCCCUUGCAGCAUCUUCACCCUUGUUGCAUCCUCACCCCUCUGCAGCACUCUCAUCCCUUGCAGCACCUUCAUCCCUUGCAGCAUCCUCACUCCUUGGUCCAUCCUCACCCCCUGCAGCACCUUCACCCCCCUUGCACCAUCCUCACCUCUUGCAACACCUGCACCCCCCUGCAUCCUCACUCCUUGUUGCAUCCUUACCCUUCUGCAGCACUCUCAUCCCUUGCAGCACCUUCAUUCCUUGCAGCAUCCUCACCCCUUGUUACAUCUUCACCCCUUGCAGCAUCCUCACUCCUUGGUCCAUCCUCACACCCCUGCAGCACCUUCACCCCGCUUGCACCAUCCUCACCCCUUGCAACACCUGCACCCCCCUGCAUCCUCACUCCUUGUUGCAUCCUCACCCCUUGCUGCAUCCUCACCCCCUGCAGCACCCUCAUUCCUUGCAGCACCCUCGUCCUUUGCUGCAUUCUCACCUCUUGUAGCAUCCUCACCCCUUGCAGCAUCUUCACCCUUGUUGCAUCCUCCCCCCUUGCUGCACACUCUCUCCUUGAAGCACCCUCAUUCCCCUUCAGCAUCCUCACCCCUUAUUGUAUCCUCACUCCUUACUGCAUCUUCACACCCCUGCAGCACCCUCACCCCUUGCAGCAACCCCACUUCUUUUUGCAUCCUCACUCCUUGCAGCACCCUCACCCUUUGUAGCACUCUCAUCCCUUGCAGCACCUUCAUCCCCUGCAGCAUCCUCACUCCUUAUUGCAUCCUCACCCCUUGCUGCACCCUCACCCCCUGCACCACCCUCAUCCCUUGCAGCAUCCUUACCCAUUACACUAUCCUCACCCCUUGCUGCACCCUCAUUCCCCUGCAGCAUCUUCACCCCUUUCUGCAUCCCCAUCUCUUGAUGCAUCCUCACUCCUUGCUGAAUCCUCACCCCCCUGCAGCACCCCCAUCCCUUGCAGCAUCCUCACUCCUUGUUGCAUUCUCACCCCUUGCAGCACCUUCACCCCCCUGCAGCAGCCUCAUGCCUUGCAGCACCCUCACCCCUUGCAACGUCCUCAUCCUUUGAAGCACCCUGAUCCUCUGCAGCAUCUUUAUCCCUUUCAGCAUCCUCCCUUCUCAGAGCAGCCCCACUCUGCAGCCUCAUCACCGCUUGCAGCAUCUCCCCCCUCUCAGCACCCCACUGCAGCACCCCCACUCCUUGCAGCAUCUUCACCUCUCACUGCACCACCACACCUUCACCUCUCACAGCACCAUCACCCUUGCAGCCCCCUCACCCCCUGCAGCAUCCCUUCACCUUGCAGCCCCAGCCCCGCACUGUGAACACCAAGCAUGCAUCUCCAGCACCACGCUCCCUGCCAGGGCCCUGCAUCGCCUUGCUUUGCUUUCCCCAUGCCCCACCAUAAUUAAGGCAUUCAAGGUGAG
Molecule: long non-coding RNA, 1696 nt
Organism: Phasianus colchicus (ring-necked pheasant)
Lineage: Eukaryota; Metazoa; Chordata; Aves; Galliformes; Phasianidae
Source: Ensembl